Molecule: ribosomal RNA, 495 nt
Filed under: uncultured bacterium
Lineage: Bacteria
Description: partial 16S ribosomal RNA
Rfam family: Bacterial small subunit ribosomal RNA
Source: RNAcentral
GAUGAACGCUGGCGGCGUGCCUAAUACAUGCAAGUCGAGCGAACAGACGAGGAGCUUGCUCCUCUGACGUUAGCGGCGGACGGGUGAGUAACACGUGGAUAACCUACCUAUAAGACUGGGAUAACUUCGGGAAACCGGAGCUAAUACCGGAUAAUAUAUUGAACCGCAUGGUUCAAUAGUGAAAGACGGUUUUGCUGUCACUUAUAGAUGGAUCCGCGCCGCAUUAGCUAGUUGGUAAGGUAACGGCUUACCAAGGCAACGAUGCGUAGCCGACCUGAGAGGGUGAUCGGCCACACUGGAACUGAGACACGGUCCAGACUCCUACGGGAGGCAGCAGUAGGGUAUCUUCCGCAAUGGGCGAAAGCCUGACGGAACAACGCCGCGUGAGUGAUGAAGGUCUUCGGAUCGUAAAACUCUGUUAUUAGGGAAGAACAAAUGUGUAAGUAACUAUGCACGUCUUGACGGUACCUAAUCAGAAAGCCACGGCUAACUACG